CAAGGUGAGGUGUUUGAAAAAAUCCUUGGCCAAUCAUCUAUGUCUUUGUUAAUAUCAGGUCCCAAUCCCUCAUCACCCAAAUUUAGGUCAACCUCAUCAUUAUCAACGGACUCAAUGUCGAAUCCUGCAAGCGCUUGUCUUCAUCUGUGGGAAUAUCAUCCUUCAUCGCAUUCACAAAGUUAGGUCCAAUCCUCAUUAAAACUCUAUCAUGGUGUUUCCAAGUGGGUGAAAUUCACAAUAUUCUCUACCAAUGACUCCAAGGUGGUGGUUAAGUUUAUUAAGAAGUAGAUAUUUACAAGGUUUGGGACCCUGGGAGCGAUUUAAUGAUGGUGGUAAACACUUCAUCAAUAAUUGGUUCAAGAAUUUACUGGCAAAGUAUGGGGUAAGACACAAGAUUGCCACAGCGUAUCAUCGCCAAACUAGUGGCCAGGUUGAGGUCUCAAAUUGUGAGGUAAAGUUAAUUUUGUAGAAGAUGGUGAAUGCACAACACAAAGAUUGGGUAUUGAAGUUUGAUGAUUCAGUUGGACAUAUAGAACAUUGUACAAGAAUCCCAUUGGGACAUCACCCUACAGGACUAAAGAGCAUCUUGACGUGAAGGAGGGAUUAAAGUGUGAAAUUUUUUUUUGGGAAGCCAUGUGGCAUGAAAUGGGCUAAGGUAAGAAAAUAAAUGAAUGCUCAAAAAUGGGGAUCCAAAAGUCCCCCAAGGAAUUUCUAAUGUUCCUCCACAUUAAGAGCAUGUCACGCUUUUUAUCCUCCGCGAUAAAGGUAUGGAAUGGCGGAAACAAAAAUCCCCAAUGUACUUUCCAGUAAUCCUCCUAGAUAGAAGCGUGUCACGCUCCUUAUUCUCUACGAUAAGGGCGUGGCAUGAAGGCUGGGUUACAAUCCAUUUUAAUUUAAAAUAUCAGGUCAAAACUCUAUUCAAUCCUUUUAAAACUCAAAAAUCCCCAAAUUUCCUUUCGUUGUCUAAAACCUCGCAUGUUGCACUUUAAAAAUUCUCAAUUGAGCGAUGUGAUACACUGCUUCUACUCUUUCUACGUGUAUCUCUCUCUUUCGAAUCACAAACAAGGUAUCAAGUGGUUGCAAACACUCGGCCCUAUUCUGUGGGAUUUUGUGUUAUUAACCAUGGGCUUUCAAUUAAAAGGGAAGCAGAUCAUUCUACAUGGACAACAAUAAUUAUUUCAACCACACUUACAUCUUCUGCAGGAUUCUAAGCAAGGUGAGCUCGAGAAAGUAUUAGCUGAAUUUGAUGAGCUAUUCAAAGUACCUACAGGUCUGCCUCCUAUGCAUUCUUGUGAUCAUCGCAUAUGUUUACUAUCGGGAACGGAUCCAGUGGUAGUUCGUCCCUAUCGAUACCCUUAUUUUUAGAAAGAUGAGAUUGAGAAACAGUGUGAUCAAAUGCUCUAGCAAGGCAUUAUUCGACCCAGUCGUUCCCCAUUCUCAUCACCUGUACUACUGGUCUAGAAACAUGAUGAAACAUGGUACUUUUGUGUGGAUUAUAAGGAGCUAAAUGCCAAAAUAGUAAAGGAAAAAUUCCCAAUUCCAGUGGUGGAGGAAUUACUUGAAGAAUUGUAUGGUACGUGAUUUUUCAUCAAGCUUGAUCUUCACUCGGGUUAUCAUCAAGUCCACAUGGAUUCUGCAGAUGUUGAGAAGACAAAUUUCAAAAUACAUCAUGGUCAUUUUGAGUUCCUUGUCAUGCCAUUCGGGUUAACUAAUGUUCCUUCUACCUUUCAAGCAUUGAUGAAUGAUGUAUUCCGAAGGUACCUGCGUCAAUUUGUACUUGUAUUUUUGAUGACAUCCUUGUUUAUAGCAAGAGUUGAGAGGAUCAUCUGGUACAUAUCUGACUUAUCUUUGAGUUGUUGCAAGCUCAUCACCUCUAUUUAAAAAAAUCCAAAUGUUCCUUUGGCAAAAAUCAAGUAGCUUAUUUGGGCCACACAGUCUCCAACAUAGGUUUGUCAACUGAUGCUAGCAAAAUUGAGGCCAUAAUUGACUGGCCUCAACCACAACCAACAAUGGCGUUGCGGGGAUUCUUAGGCUUGACAGGAUAUUAUCAUAUGUUCAUAAAAAAUUACGGCUUGAUUGAUGCCCCCUUAACAAGUAUGCUUAAGUGACGUACUUUUAAGUGGAAUGACGAUGCACUUGUUUCUUUCGAAACUCUUAAAAAGGCAUUAGUUGCUACCCCAGUGUUACAGUUACCAAACUUUAAAGAAGAAUUUGUUAUUGAGUGUGAUGUGUUGGGUGUUGGAAAAGGAGCAAUUCUUCAACAACAAGGACACCCCAUUGCUUUUUUUAGUCGUAAGCUAGCUGACCAACACUUGAAACUUUCAUCUUAUGCAUGUGAAUUGAUAGGCUUGACAAAGGCAGUUCAACACUAGAGGCCUUAUCUCUUUGGAUGAGCCUUUCUAAUUCGAACAGAUCAUUCCAUCCUUAAAUACCUGCUAGAUCAACAUCUUACUACUUCUUCUCAACAACGUUGGCUUAGCAAGAUGAUGGGGUUCGAUUUUCGGGUGGAAUACAAGGUUGGGCGAUUGAAUACUGCAGCAGAUGCAUUAUCAUGACGAGAAAAGGUUGGAGAUAUGCUAUUUUCUAUUUCUUAGCCAAAAGUUCUGAUAUUCGAGGAAGUUCGAGAAGAGGUAAAGCAAUCACCAAUUCUUUAGAAACUUCGAGCUAAAUUUGAACAAGGAGAGAUGAAUAGCGAUUAGGUGUUUCGAAAUGGGUUGUUGUUCUUCAAAAAUAGGGUCUAUCUCUCACCCAACUCACCAUUGGUAAAUUCUAUCUUGUUUGGGAUUCAUGAUAGCACCCAUGAAGGCGUUUAGAAGACCAUGCUAUGUAUUCAUAAGGAUUUCUAUUGGCCAGCUAUAAAGACAACUAUCAAGGAUUAUGUUGCUGCCUGUUCAGUUUGCCAGCGUAAUAAGGCUGUUAAUUUGAGUCCCGCGGGCCGGUUACAACCUUUACGACUGCCUAAUCAAAUUUGAUCGAAUAUCUCAAUGGAUUUCAUAGAUGGCCUGCCAAAAUUAGGUAGUAAAACAAUGUUAUUGGUUGUUGUGGACAAAUUCUCUAAAUAUGCACAUUUCAUCCCCCUUACUCAUCCAUAUAAUUCAUCUUCUAUAGCAAGGAUUUUCUUUGAGAAUAUUGUUCGUUUACAUAGGAUACCAAAAUCAAUUGUAAGUGAUUGAGAUGCCCUCUUCACUAGUACCUUCU
Capsicum annuum is the source of this 3198-nucleotide long non-coding RNA. RefSeq lists it as uncharacterized. The transcript is spliced from 3 exons. Lineage: Eukaryota; Viridiplantae; Streptophyta; Magnoliopsida; Solanales; Solanaceae. The record is from RefSeq and is a predicted model, not a curated record.